This 1372-nucleotide ribosomal RNA is filed under the name uncultured bacterium. RNAcentral describes it as "bacterial SSU rRNA". It matches the Rfam family "Bacterial small subunit ribosomal RNA", at positions 28 to 1381 of the family's 1533-position model. The record is from RNAcentral.
GAUGAACGCUGGCGGCGUGCCUAAUACAUGCAAGUCGAGCGAACGGACGAGAAGCUUGCUUCUCUGAUGUUAGCGGCGGACGGGUGAGUAACACGUGGAUAACCUACCUAUAAGACUGGGAUAACUUCGGGAAACCGGAGCUAAUACCGGAUAAUAUUUUGAACCGCAUGGUUCAAAAGUGAAAGACGGUCUUGCUGUCACUUAUAGAUGGAUCCGCGCUGCAUUAGCUAGUUGGUAAGGUAACGGCUUACCAAGGCAACGAUGCAUAGCCGACCUGAGAGGGUGAUCGGCCACACUGGAACUGAGACACGGUCCAGACUCCUACGGGAGGCAGCAGUAGGGAAUCUUCCGCAAUGGGCGAAAGCCUGACGGAGCAACGCCGCGUGAGUGAUGAAGGUCUUCGGAUCGUAAAACUCUGUUAUUAGGGAAGAACAUAUGUGUAAGUAACUGUGCACAUCUUGACGGUACCUAAUCAGAAAGCCACGGCUAACUACGUGCCAGCAGCCGCGGUAAUACGUAGGUGGCAAGCGUUAUCCGGAAUUAUUGGGCGUAAAGCGCGCGUAGGCGGUUUUUUAGGUCUGAUGUGAAAGCCCACGGCUCAACCGUGGAGGGUCAUUGGAAACUGGAAAACUUGAGUGCAGAAGAGGAAAGUGGAAUUCCAUGUGUAGCGGUGAAAUGCGCAGAGAUAUGGAGGAACACCAGUGGCGAAGGCGACUUUCUGGUCUGUAACUGACGCUGAUGUGCGAAAGCGUGGGGAUCAAACAGGAUUAGAUACCCUGGUAGUCCACGCCGUAAACGAUGAGUGCUAAGUGUUAGGGGGUUUCCGCCCCUUAGUGCUGCAGCUAACGCAUUAAGCACUCCGCCUGGGGAGUACGACCGCAAGGUUGAAACUCAAAGGAAUUGACGGGGACCCGCACAAGCGGUGGAGCAUGUGGUUUAAUUCGAAGCAACGCGGAGAACCUUACCAAAUCUUGACAUCCUUUGACAACUCUAGAGAUAGAGCUUUCCCCUUCGGGGGACAAAGUGACAGGUGGUGCAUGGUUGUCGUCGGCUCGUGUCGUGAGAUGUUGGGUUAAGUCCCGCAACGAGCGCAACCCUUAAGCUUAGUUGCCAUCAUUAGGUUGGGCACUCUAAGUUGACUGCCGGUGACAAACCGGAGGAAGGUGGGGAUGACGUCAAAUCAUCAUGCCCCUUAUGAUUUGGGCUACACACGUGCUACAAUGGACAAUACAAAGGGCAGCGAAACCGCGAGGUCAAGCAAAUCCCAUAAAGUUGUUCUCAGUUCGGAUUGUAGUCUGCAACUCGACUACAUGAAGCUGGAAUCGCUAGUAAUCGUAGAUCAGCAUGCUACGGUGAAUACGUUCCCGGGUCU